This 22-nucleotide small nuclear RNA is filed under the name Arabidopsis thaliana (thale cress). Its description in RNAcentral is "snRNA_16709". The record is from RNAcentral. Lineage: Eukaryota; Viridiplantae; Streptophyta; Magnoliopsida; Brassicales; Brassicaceae.
GAAUGCUUGAAUAGAGUAAGGC